UCUCCACACUGUUCGGCACAACCGGCGGCGCCGCCACCUUCCGAUUCUCCUCCAAAAACUUCAAAACAAUCAACUCCGUCUCCUCCCCGACCUUCCCCUUCUCCUUCAACACCCUCACCAUCUCGCUCAACCGAAACAGCGAGUGCAGUCGAAUCCCAUUCUCCUCCAAAUUCUCCCUCCCGCCCUGUUCCCGGUCGAUCAGCACAACAGCGUCUUCGACCUUCAGACCGGCGGCGCGUAGGGGCGCAGCCGUCUCCAAAACCGAUCCGCCGCUAGUAACCAAGUCCUCGAUUAUGAGGCAGACUUGGUCUGGCUUAAAGACGCCUUCGAUGGCCUUGGCGGUGCCGUAGUCCUUGACCUCCUUGCGGCGCAUGAGCAUGGGGAGGUCAUUGGACGUGCUGAUGCAGGUGGCGAUUGGGAGGGCGGUGUAGGGGACGCCGCAGAUGAGGUCGUAGCGCGUGGAGGAGGGGACGGUGGCGAUUAGGGUUUGGGAAAUUUGGCUGAGGAGGGUGGGGUAAGAUACGAUGAGGCGGAGGUCUAUGUAGAUUGGGGAGGAGAUGCCGGAUUUGAGUUUGAAGUUGCCGAACUUGACGGCGGAGAUGUCGUGGAGUUGGAGGAUGAGGGACUCGGUGGACGGCAAAGAUGCCAUUUUUGAUAAGACGGUGGCGGCGGAUUGGGAAGAGAAGAAGGAGAGUUCGUGGAGAGAGUGAGCAGCGAGCGCACGCAGUGGCUUUUGCGUACGGAAUAAAUAGAGAAGAUGCUGAAAUGUGA
Molecule: long non-coding RNA, 771 nt
Filed under: Malus domestica (apple)
Lineage: Eukaryota; Viridiplantae; Streptophyta; Magnoliopsida; Rosales; Rosaceae
Description: long non-coding RNA (MDOM_LNC008751)
Source: RNAcentral